AGACAGCAGUACGUGUUCCCCGCACACAGGACACCGACCACCGGCUCCUGAAUCACUGGAACUGGAUUGUUUGAGAACCGUAGACAGCACCGUACUUUCUCUCUACUCCAACCCGGGCAAGGCGCGCCGUCCUGGGCCUGAACUGCGCACGGAUCCAGCCUCUUCCUCCAGUUCUAUGCUGCAGUGUCACACCGCGUCUCUGAUCCGUUUGCUCGGUCUGCAUAGCCUACAUGUGUGUUCGUGUGCGUGUUUGAGGACACUUUUGCAGAGCUGUUAAUACUGGAUUUUCUCUGGAGGUUUCCGUCUGAGUCGUCACAGUUUCCCCAACGCUGGUUUUUACAUCUGCCAAUCUGAUGAAAAGAUGCUGCGGGGACACAACGAGAAACUGAGCCCUACCUGAAACCACCUCUCCCC
Long non-coding RNA from Perca flavescens (yellow perch), 414 nucleotides. RefSeq lists it as uncharacterized. The record is from RefSeq and is a predicted model, not a curated record. Lineage: Eukaryota; Metazoa; Chordata; Actinopteri; Perciformes; Percidae. The transcript is spliced from 3 exons.